Long non-coding RNA from Syngnathus acus (greater pipefish), 375 nucleotides. RefSeq lists it as uncharacterized. The record is from RefSeq and is a predicted model, not a curated record. The transcript has 3 exons. Lineage: Eukaryota; Metazoa; Chordata; Actinopteri; Syngnathiformes; Syngnathidae.
AGGGUGAAGUCCCAAGAGUCUCCUGCAACAACGCUUGAAGUUUUCUUGUUGCUUCCUCAUCCACAAGGUGCUGGAGCCCAAUUCUGAGAUAGGAGUGGAAGAAAUAAAACUUAGACGGCAACAAGAAACAUGAACAGCUUCCUGUUAUUGGAGCCUUGAACACUUGGUGCCAGAAAACUACUCCUUCGCACUGGUCCACACGCUGACUUGUCCACAUCCUACUGGCCGACCGACCACUUUUUGUUUUAGGUCCACACUGAUUGUCCACUGGCCAACCACCACACGGCAACGAGCAGACUGCCAUCCAACUUGUAACUUGUUUAUGACUGAAUGUUUACUCUGCAAAAGAAAUAAAGCUUUAUUUGAAACAACACU